UACAGAGGGUGCAAGCGUUGUUCGGAAUUACUGGGCGUAAAGCGCGUGUAGGCUGCGGAGUAAGUCGGAUGUGAAAUCCCUUGGCUUAACCAAGGAAGUGCAUCCGAUACUGUUUCGCUUGAGUGUCGGAGGGGAUGGCGGAAUUCCCGGUGUAGAGGUGAAAUUCGUAGAUAUCGGGAGGAACACCAGUGGCGAAGGCGGCGAUCUGGGUGGAUACUGACGCUGAGGUGCGAAAGCGUGGGGAGCAAACAGG
This 253-nucleotide ribosomal RNA is filed under the name uncultured bacterium. RNAcentral describes it as "partial 16S ribosomal RNA". It matches the Rfam family "Bacterial small subunit ribosomal RNA", at positions 524 to 776 of the family's 1533-position model. The record is from RNAcentral.